RNAcentral lists this ribosomal RNA (433 nucleotides) under uncultured bacterium. RNAcentral describes it as "partial 16S ribosomal RNA". It matches the Rfam family "Bacterial small subunit ribosomal RNA", at positions 29 to 507 of the family's 1533-position model. The record is from RNAcentral.
AACGAACGCUGGCGGGAUGCCUAACACAUGCAAGUCGAACGACAGGGUCGGGCGCUGCGGCGUGCGAGUGCGUAACGUGAGGGACGAGGCCCUUAUAAUGGGUAUAACUGCCCGAAAGAGGUACUUACGCCGGAUAAUCUCUUGCGCCCGACAAAUCAUCGCGUUGGGGUGGUCCCUCGUCAGCUGGGCGUGUUGGUAGGGGAAAAGCCUAUGUAGGCGAGGGGCCGUAGCUGGUCUGAGAGGAUGAUCAGCGACACUGGGACUGAGACACGGCACAGACUCCUACGGGAGGCAGGAGUGGGGAAUAGUGGACAGUGGGCGAAAGCCUGAUCCAGCCCUGCCGCGUGAGUGCUGAAGGCCUUAGGGUUGUAAAGCUCUUUUAACCGGGAUGAUAAUGACAGUACCGGGAGAAUAAGCUCCGGCUAACUCCGUG